UACGGGGGGGGCAAGCGUUGUUCGGAAUUACUGGGCGUAAAGGGUUUGUAGGUGGCUUGUUAAGUCAGACGUGAAAUCCCUCAGCUUAACUGGGGAACUGCGUCUGAGACUGGUGAGCUUGAGUGCAGGAGAGGAACGCGGAAUUCCAGGUGUAGCGGUGAAAUGCGUAGAGAUGUGGAGGAACACCGAUGGCGAAGGCAGCCCCCUGGGUUAACACUGACGCUCAGGCACGAAAGCGUGGGGAGCAAACAGG
RNAcentral lists this ribosomal RNA (253 nucleotides) under uncultured bacterium. Its description in RNAcentral is "partial 16S ribosomal RNA". It matches the Rfam family "Bacterial small subunit ribosomal RNA", at positions 524 to 776 of the family's 1533-position model. The record is from RNAcentral.